GUAACAGGAAACAGCUUGCUGUUUCGCUGACGAGUGGCGGACGGGUGAGUAAUGUCUGGGAAACUGCCUGAUGGAGGGGGAUAACUACUGGAAACGGUAGCUAAUACCGCAUAACGUCGCAAGACCAAAGAGGGGGACCCUCGGGCCUCUUGCCAUCGGAUGUGCCCAGAUGGGAUUAGCUUGUUGGUGGGGUAACGGCUCACCAAGGCGACGAUCCCUAGCUGGUCUGAGAGGAUGACCAGCCACACUGGAACUGAGACACGGUCCAGACUCCUACGGGAGGCAGCAGUGGGGAAUAUUGCACAAUGGGCGCAAGCCUGAUGCAGCCAUGCCGCGUGUAUGAAGAAGGCCUUCGGGUUGUAAAGUACUUUCAGCGGGGAGGAAGGGAGUAAAGUUAAUACCUUUGCUCAUUGACGUUACCCGCAGAAGAAGCACCGGCUAACUCCGUGCCAGCAGCCGCGGUAAUACGGAGGGUGCAAGCGUUAAUCGGAAUUACUGGGCGUAAAGCGCACGCAGGCGGUUUGUUAAGUCAGAUGUGAAAUCCCCGGGCUCAACCUGGGAACUGCAUCUGAUACUGGCAAGCUUGAGUCUCGUAGAGGGGGGUAGAAUUCCAGGUGUAGCGGUGAAAUGCGUAGAGAUCUGGAGGAAUACCGGUGGCGAAGGCGGCCCCCUGGACGAAGACUGACGCUCAGGUGCGAAAGCGUGGGGAGCAAACAGG
This 718-nucleotide ribosomal RNA is filed under the name uncultured Pseudomonadota bacterium. Its description in RNAcentral is "bacterial SSU rRNA". It matches the Rfam family "Bacterial small subunit ribosomal RNA", at positions 69 to 776 of the family's 1533-position model. Lineage: Bacteria; Pseudomonadati; Pseudomonadota. The record is from RNAcentral.